RNAcentral lists this unclassified non-coding RNA (391 nucleotides) under Hevea brasiliensis (rubber tree). Lineage: Eukaryota; Viridiplantae; Streptophyta; Magnoliopsida; Malpighiales; Euphorbiaceae. The record is from RNAcentral.
ACAGCCCUCUGUGAAUCAUUACCUCUUCUGCAUACAACAUAUAAACUCAUAUCUGACUCUGAUCCGAUACCCCUGCGCUCUCUCUCUUCCUUCAUAGCUGAUGAUAUUUCUGCCAAUCUAACCUCCAAACUUGAUAGCGGGAUGUUUAAGGCAUUGGGAAGGGAAACAAUCUUAAAGUGGUGGGCAGGGCGUACAUCUACCAACACAUGUGCUUCCCCUUUAACAAUCUUCUCAUUGAACUCUCUACUGCUUAUUCUAGAUUCUGCCGGAAGCAGGUUCAACUUCAACGGAUCCGUUGCCAAAGAAGACUGCGUGAACUUCUCAUAAUCAAAAUCUCUAAAUUGCUUUUGUGUGAAUGCUGCAUUUUCUCCACAAACUUCACAUUGUAAUG